CCUACGGGAGGCAGCAGUAAGGAAUCUUGCGCAAUGGGCGAAAGCCUGACGCAGCGACGCCGCGUGGGCGAUGAAGGCCUUCGGGUUGUAAAGCCCUUUUCUGGGGGACGAUAAUGACGGUACCACAGGAAUAAGCCACGGCUAACUACGUGCCAGCAGCCGCGGUAAAACGUAGGGGGCAAGCGUUGUUCGGAAUUACUGGGCGUAAAGCGCGUGUAGGCGGCUUGGUAAGUCGGAAGUGAAAGCCCUCGGCUCAACCGGGGAACUGCUUUCGAAACUGCCAGGCUUGAAUGCGGGAGGGGAGAGCGGAAUUCCCGGUGUAGCGGUGAAAUGCGUAGAUAUCGGGAAGAACACCAGUGGCGAAGGCGGCCUUCUGGGCUGCCCCUGACGCUGAGGCCCGAAAGCGUGGGGAGCGAACCGGAUUAGAUACCCCUGUAGU
Molecule: ribosomal RNA, 439 nt
Filed under: uncultured bacterium
Lineage: Bacteria
Description: partial 16S ribosomal RNA
Rfam family: Bacterial small subunit ribosomal RNA
Source: RNAcentral